RNAcentral lists this ribosomal RNA (383 nucleotides) under uncultured archaeon. Its description in RNAcentral is "bacterial SSU rRNA". It matches the Rfam family "Archaeal small subunit ribosomal RNA", at positions 1063 to 1448 of the family's 1478-position model. The record is from RNAcentral.
UUUGCUACCCCGUCUCUCCGGAGGCGGCGCACUAUAGGGGAGACCGCUGGUGUUAAACCAGAGGAAGGCGAGGGCAACGACAGGUCAGUAUGCCCCGAAUGUCCUGGGCUACACGCGCGCUACAAAGGACGGGACAAUGGGAAGCCAGGCCGAGAGGCCGAGCUAACCCGAAACCCGUUCAUAGUUCGGAUCGAGGGCUGUAACUCGCCCUCGUGAAGCUGGAUUCCGUAGUAAUCGUGUUUCAAUAUAGCACGGUGAAUAUGCCCCUGCUCCUUGCACACACCGCCCGUCAAACCAUCUUAGUUGGGGGUGGGUGAGGCUGCGCUUUAUGGCGUAUUCGAGCCUGCCUUCGACAAGGAGGGUUAAGUCGUAACAAGGUAACC